GACGAACGCUGGCGGCGUGCUUAACACAUGCAAGUCGAACGGAAAGGCCCUGCUUUUGUGGGGUGCUCGAGUGGCGAACGGGUGAGUAACACGUGAGUAACCUGCCCUUGACUUUGGGAUAACUUCAGGAAACUGGGGCUAAUACCGGAUAGGAGCUCCUGCUGCAUGGUGGGGGUUGGAAAGUUUCGGCGGUUGGGGAUGGACUCGCGGCUUAUCAGCUUGUUGGUGGGGUAGUGGCUUACCAAGGCUUUGACGGGUAGCCGGCCUGAGAGGGUGACCGGCCACAUUGGGACUGAGAUACGGCCCAGACUCCUACGGGAGGCAGCAGUGGGGAAUAUUGCACAAUGGGCGGAAGCCUGAUGCAGCAACGCGGCGUGCGGGAUGACGGCCUUCGGGUUGUAGGCCGCUUUCGCCUGUGACGAAGCGUGAGUGACGGUAAUGGGUAAAGAGGCACCGGCUAAAUACGUG
RNAcentral lists this ribosomal RNA (468 nucleotides) under uncultured bacterium. RNAcentral describes it as "partial 16S ribosomal RNA". It matches the Rfam family "Bacterial small subunit ribosomal RNA", at positions 28 to 507 of the family's 1533-position model. The record is from RNAcentral.